Neofelis nebulosa (Clouded leopard) is the source of this 787-nucleotide long non-coding RNA. RefSeq lists it as uncharacterized. Lineage: Eukaryota; Metazoa; Chordata; Mammalia; Carnivora; Felidae. The transcript has 2 exons. The record is from RefSeq and is a predicted model, not a curated record.
GGUGAGGGCCCAGCUGAGGUCUGGGGAGAGGACUCUGCAGGCAGAGGAAAUGGGCCGAGCAAAAACCCCGAGGCAAGAGAGUGCCUGGUGUGUUCUAGAAGGAGCAAAAAGACACCAGUGUGCCUGCAGCAGAGUGAGCAAGGAAAAGGCGAAGCAACCGAGUCGGAGAGAAAAUAAUUGGAGCCCUUCAGACCAGAGAUGACAGCAGCCGGAACCAGGGCAGUAGCAGAGGGACCUGUUAAGAAGAGUCUGUGCUCUGGAUUUGGGUUGUGGGCACAGCUCACAGGAUUCCCAAUGAACUGACCGUUGGGUGUGACAGACGACUCCAAGGGGCAUUAGAUGCAUGGAGGUUACAGCUAUUAAGGAUUUUUACUAGGGCUGUAACUCUCAGGAGGAGAGGAGGCAGCCAAUAGAAGCCACGUUGUGACAUGGAGAAGACCUGACCAUUCAUCUGAACACGGGAUGGCAGAGAAGGAGGCCAAUUCACUGCUUCGUUCUACAUCUUUAUUGAGAUUCGACUGCCGGGCACGUGCAAGUCCCCAAGGGGACAACGGUGAACACAACAGCAUGGUCCCUGACUCAGUGGAACGCCCUGACUUGCUGGUACUUAGGAAGCAAACCAAAACUUUAACUGUUAUUGCUUUAAUUAUAACUUCAAUGAAUUAAUAUGCAAAUACUAAACAUUAAAUUAGAUAUACAAUUAAUAAAUAUGUAAUAUGAUAUAUAAUAUGUGUCACAUAAAAUAUAAAGUAUAAUAAAAUAUACAUUUAAUAUAAAUGUAAUUUGA